Molecule: long non-coding RNA, 1352 nt
Organism: Drosophila sulfurigaster albostrigata
Lineage: Eukaryota; Metazoa; Arthropoda; Insecta; Diptera; Drosophilidae
Exons: 3
Source: RefSeq, a predicted model, not a curated record
CACUUCCCAGUUGGUUAAUGCAGCAGCAGCAGCUCCAACAACACAAAAACUUCCGAGGCAACAAACAAAAAACUGGUCAAAAACCAUUGAAGCAUGAUUUUAAUGCCACAAAAGGCAAAGCCAAAGACCGACGGAAAGAAACCCACACGGCAAAAGAAAAAAAAAUGGGUAUCGUUGCUUAAUUUCAAAUUGUGGCAUGCAUAGAAAACCAUUGAGCAUUGUGACGCAUUAAAAAAAGAAUAGAAAGAAGGAGAAAUGCUGCCAUUAGAAAGCGAUUGGCUGCCAGCACUUUUAUGCUAUAAUUGUAUUGGCCAACAUGGGUUAACACAUUGUGCUAGUGUGAGUGUGUGUGUGAACAAUAAAAAUGAUGCUGAUUCAGCAUUUGUCGAGGCCAUAAAUAGCAGUUGUCUCGGGUCCAACAAAUCGCAUAACCCAAAGCCAUAUAUCAAGCAUAAAAUUCAACAAUCUGCAAUUGAAAUAAAUGAAGCAAGGAAUGAAAGGAAUGCCAGAAUAUUAUUUAAGCAUAGUAAGCAAACCAAUAUAUGCAUAACACAUCAACUCAAUUCAGGUAAAAUAAAAAAAAUAACAAAAAUCUGCGAACAACUUUUAUUCGCUUGGAACUAUCAGCGUGGCAAUCUGAAUGCUCAUUAGUCGCAGCAUAGAAAUUAGGUCAUAAAAUAUCCAUUAGGCACACACACACACGCACUCAACACAUACACAAAUUAUAGUGCAAAAAUCAACUGAGCUCACGAUAUGUGCUCAUCUAAUCGAAAAGCCGUGUACUCUAAAGUACAUUCAGUUUAACCUCGAGGGAUGGAAGGGAUGUUGUUCACAUUAUUCGCAUCGAGGGCAGUUCGCUGCUUUUGCUACGAUGAUGAUGGCUCCGAUAUGCGUUGAAGCGGUCAAUUUUUAGUUGACGUGCAGUCGCGUAAUUACAAUCCUAAAAUGGUGACAUGUUCGUUGACCGCCCGCCCACAACUGCUUUCCCCUCCUCUCCCUCUCUCAUUGUAUUUGCAAAAUUAUCAAUUGUGCGAGCAAAUGUUGAAGGGGGCCAGAGGAAGAGAGAUAUAUGUAUAUAGAAGGAGACAACCCGAGACAGCGACUGUGACGCUUCGUGUGCAAUUUGGAAAACUAAAUUGUUCUAUUGUAUUUAAGUUAAUUACUCAUGCUAAUGCUAAUUUGCCCUGUCGACAUUUGUCGUUCGCGACGCUGUUGACAACAAUUGCCAUGACUUCUACUGGAAUUUUGCAUUUGCUGCGGCUAUUUCAACUUUGUUUUUUGUUGCAGUCUGUACAUAAAUUUGCUUCAAAUAUAUACAUUAGUCGCCAACUAAUUUGCACAGUAUAUAGAAA